This 5400-nucleotide long non-coding RNA is filed under the name Sus scrofa (pig). Its description in RNAcentral is "lncRNA (ENSSSCG00050050371.1)". Lineage: Eukaryota; Metazoa; Chordata; Mammalia; Artiodactyla; Suidae. The record is from RNAcentral.
AUAGUACAGUUGCUUUUUGUUCUUUUGGCUGAAACUGAAGAGGACAUUGAAGAAAGAGAUAGAAAGGCCACAGAGUAGACCCCGAGAUGCUUGUGGGAGUCUGUGGUGGGUGGGCCUGUUGGAGCUGGUGAGGGGGCCUGUGGGCCACAGUGGGCUUUGAAAGACUUUUGCCGGAGUCAGGCCACUUUCCUGAGCGGCUGUUAUCAGGCUCUGCCACAGGAGCCCUUAGCGUGAAGGCUGCUUUGCCCAGGGCAGCCUGUCCCAGACCUGCCCUACUAAUGUUUGGCUUUGAGUGUCUCUGGUUCACGGCAAGUGAUUAGGUCGAAUAAACCUUAGGUCAAGGAGCUUAGUCACCUCUUUCCAGCCUAAAUGACAAGCACCCUGAAUUCCCAUGAGUUUUUGGUGCUUGACGGCAUCCUGGCAUAGACAUUGGUUUGCAAGCGUGUCUUAACAGCAAACUGACCUGCUGCGUCUGCCUCUUGGUGCAGCAUACAAGCAGCCAAUGGAAAAAUCGGCAACCUGCAUUCAAAGAUUUGGCCUUGGUCACAGUUAAAAAUUAACCGUGGUUUAAUUUUUGUACUGGGUUGUUCCCCCCCCAAUCCAAACUCAAUUUCCUGUUGCAGAAUAAAUUGAUUUCAUCGCGUCAUAUGGAAGACUUCUUUUCUUUAUCCCAAACCUGUGAUUUUAAUGUAGAACAUUGAAUGUAGGUCAGUAUUCACCUCUUUCUCAGAAAUCUGGGAAGACAAUUUUGGGGUUUUUUUUUCACCCCCAGUUUCUCUGAAUAAUACUCCCCAGGUUGUUAAGAGCAUUGAUAAAGUUCCCCAGCCUCGGAUCUAGAACUGGAAUGUUAAAGCCCUUCGCGCCUACGAAAGGAAUGAGGGCGUUUCCCGAGUUGGGCCAGAGAGGAAACCUCACUCACGGGAAGCUUCUGAGCGGACAAGCUGCUCGACCUCCGACCUCCUCCGGGAGACUCAGCCCGAGGUCCAGCGUCACCUUUGUUCUAAAUUCUCUGCUCUUCAUGAAUGGCGGAUAGUAUUUUAGAAGUCUAGCCAACUAGUGCUUUGAAACGGAGGGAGAGCUACACUGAAAAGACUUAAGGUAAUCUAAAUGGAUGUUCUAGUGAUGUCAGUAUUCAGAAGAGAGAUCCUAUUAGAGUGACUUUUCAGGAAAAAAAAAAAGUUCCGUAACCUGAGUCCCCCCCCCCCCCCCCCACCCCCCCCCCCCCCCCCCCCCUCCCGCCACCAUCCCCUCUCGCUUUUGCACUCCAGCAAGACGCAGCCUGUUGCUUCCCAAACCCGCAGAGCUGUUUCCUGUUCCUGGCCUUUGGGGAAGCCCCCCACCCUCCCAACUCUGCUGUCCACCUCCCCAGACACACCCUGCCCACAGCCCAGGGCAGCCUUCCGCGCCACAGAUACACUGGUGGUAAAGGAUGGAGUGUGUUUGGCUUGCAUCAGUUUGCCAGGAGCAAGGGAGGGUAGCUACAAAGCACUGCUCUAACCUGUUAUUUUCUGCACUAUUAAAAUGUAAAGCAGGCUGACAUAAGAAUCCACUCUUCUCCACCGGUCACCACCAUAAGAUUUAUGAAUCAUUUGCUAAAUCCACCGCCAGUUUUAAAAUCCGGCUCCCAGGCUAGGUCUGCAGGAAAUAAGCUUGUGAGAUCAUAAGUGCUAUGGAGUAUGAAGUUAUUUACUGGAUCCUGCAGUGUUAGCACUGGGAAUCCCAAGAAAGCUGCCUAAUAAGCUGGGUUGUACCCAUUUGGAACCUAGUGUCUCCAAAGGUGGGGGGGGGUGAACAUGUCAGAAACAUCGAAAAUGAGUUUAAAUUAAAGCCUGAAGUUUUUAAAUAUAAAGCAAAGUUUGAGUACAUUAGCUUUUAAGAUAGAGAUGCUGAAGAGAAACCCUAAUGAAAUACACUGUGGUGUUACUCUCAGGAAUUAAAAAUAACAACAGAGGACACAGCAUAUGGAAGUUCCCAGACUAGGGGUCAAAUCAGAGUUGUAGCUCACACCACACCGCAGCUCACAGCAACUCCGGAUCCUUAACCCACUGAGCGAGACCAGGGAUCACACCCACAUCCUCAUGGAUCCAGGUUGGGUUCAUUACCACUGAGCCACCAUGAGAACUCACUAAAUGGAAGUGGUUUUAAAACGAGUGAUCUGCCUGCCCUCCUGUGGGUACAGCAAGGCAGCAGCCAUAAAACGAAAACCCUGGUCAGUUCCCAGAGUGAAACCUGCAGUCUUAGCCACCUAAGUCCUGGGGCAGGUGGUCCCCUGAGCAAGAUGCUGUUUCCCUAGGGGUGGGGGUGGGGGGCUUUUUCUGACGUUAAAGCUCCUCUAGUCUGGGACUCCCAGGUGGGCAGCCUGGUGGCCUCCUGCUCGGCCAGCCCCUCUCCUGAGCCCUGUGGGGGGAAGCCCCCUCCUCCCCGCCGAGGGGCUGCCCCCACCAGGGUCACCUUCUCUGCCUGCUCUUUGAAUCACCUCUCCCCCAUUUUUGAAGUGAUCUUUGAACUUGGGGGCUUGGGGCAGGAGGAAGAGAGCACCAGAAGUGUUGUGUAAACACUGGUUCUGAUCCUUCUCAACUUUUACUACCUGUAAGGACAGGUGGACGUGGAGAAGCUGCUGGCAGGAAGGGCCAAUUGUUCUCAAGGUUAUGGGUUAUGCAAUCGAGCAGAAGAGCUUUGAAGCUGCAGGAGGAGGUCAGAGCAGCUUGUCCACAAAGCAUAUGACGCAGAAGUUUCCCUUUAGAAGAACUUACUUGCUUGACUCUCGUUAGGAAUUCCUGUGCCAGCAUUUAGCUGGAUCUCUGGGGUGAGUCGUUAUCUCCGGUCUGCAGUUAAAGUAAGGAAUUUCUUUUAAAGGACCCUACUUCCGGAGUUUUCCUGAGAUGCCAGGCUGAAGCGGGUACCUUCAGCACCUAUUUUUGUAUAGAAUGUCGUUUCAUCCGAGUCUGUAACCUUGUGCUCGUGUCCGUGGGAAAGAAAAAAAAUAGUGAGACCCUUCUUUAUCCAGUUACGAGGCGGAGGUAGACGGUGAUGUCAUAGGUUGUGUGGACCCGGCUGUGCUGAGCUUGCGUCUGGGACAGUGACCAGACAGACCAGAGGAGAAGUGGAAGGUAUUUUUAGCCCCUGGGGGCUGCUCUGGACGCCGCUUCUCCGGGCGCCCCAGUACCUCCCGCGGGGAGAUGCGGCGCAGGCGCACUGGCUCUCAUGCCUUCCGCCUCUGAAUCAUACCGUAGAAUAUUCGGGAGCCCUGGUGGGCUGCCGACUUGAUGGCGCAGCUUUGAGAGCCACACACUUCAGCCCAAAUCUGAGACGUUGCUGGAGGGCCUCUCAGCGGGCCCUGGGUCCCUCGCAGGGACCGGACCAGUCCUCUUCUUCCGAAGUGUGGUUUUCUCUGGAAAUCCGGGCCUGGGUACGCAGUUCACUCCUUUUUUUUUUUUUUUUUUUCCUGCGUUGAGCUGCUCCAGGCAUGCGUGGAAGUUCUGCUGCUGAGAACAGCAUGACCUCUGCAAGUAGGUUCUUAAAAUCUUUGGAGAGCCGGUUUGAACCGCGAGCAGUAAGUCAGCUGAAAACUUCUGUCAGGUUAUGUACAUCAAGUGCAGCUUUAGAAAAGUGAUAAAAGGAAGGGAUCCUGUCUGGGGUACGCAGGCUGUCCCUAGAAUCACUUUUGCAGGCUGAAGGGCUUCUGGAUGUGAUGUGGAGGGUGUAGGUCAGUUUCCGAAUAAGUCGGCUUCUGCUUGGCUGGUCAGGGUUUUGACUGCGGGCCAGUCCGUCUCUCUGGCCGUGGGAGUGAGCGGUGCCAGUAGGAGUGUGGAAGACACCACGUGCUGUGUGGAAGAAGCUCUGGAUGAGAUUAGGAGGCCGGAUCCUUGUCUCUCUCCUCCAGCUGCCUCCCCCGACCCCAGUAUGUCCCAGCCUCGAGCUCGAGUGACCCUGGCGGGUUCCUGGGCCUCUCUCUACCCCCGUUGAUAAGUUGAGGCCGUGUAUGGCCUACAGGCCCCGAGUCAGGCUGCCUGGGUCUGCAUCCAGGCUCUGCCCCUUGCUGGCUCUGUGACUCAGGGCACAUGAGCAUUUCUCAGUGUCUUGGUGCCUGUUUCCCCAUCACUAAUGGGAAUAGUACCCACUUCACAGGCUGCUGUGAGGCCCAAUUGGGUUAAAGUGUGUGGCCUGCCUGCAAGGCGGUUGGCCUUUCUUGGGAUGGCUCACAAAUGCCUCUUCCAGUGAGGGAGUCUGUUACUUUCUUCUACCUCUUCAGGCAAAUGGACCACCCGAGAGGUCCCUAGAGGAGGCAAAGCAGGUGAUGACCAGGGAAGCCAGAGGGGCCCUGGGGUGGGUCACGGUGCCCGCCCUGUGCUCUGCCUCCCUCCCUGGUCUCCCCAAGAAAAGCUCAGCCCGGCAGAGCACAGGCCCCAGCAGCUCCCGCUGUUAACUGUGCAGGGAAGACAGAUCCUCAGGUGAGCAGCGUCGCUGCCCUGGGGUGCUGCCCCCAGGCCCACGGAUGCCCAGGCAGCCUGUGCCAGUUUUCUCAGUUUUCAAGUGUCGUGGUCAGACUGGGUCAUGGGGGCCAAGCUCUUUACUAGCUGGUUCCCCUGAUGAAAACUCUUUCAUUGAAACGCUUCAUUCCCGAUCUACAUUGUUUCCAAUCCCCAUGCUCUUCUCUGAGGGCUCAGCUGGCUGCCCUUCAAAGAGCCCAGUGAGAGACAAGUGUAGUAGUUUCAUGCAGCUUCCCACCUCCCUCUCCAACCGCCUGGUACUCCGUGGUUUCUGCAGAGGUUCUCAGUAGGAGAAAAGUUAUGUUUAUGGGGCACAUUCAGAGAGCUUGUGCCUCCAUUCCAGAAUUUGUUUGGAGGCUCUGCCCCACGUGGUGGAGAAUCUUGUUAAGUUCGGGUGGUUCCCUACAGUUUCCACUAGAAAUUACGUCUUUAAAGACUGCUCUGGGCAGGAGAGUCUGGAACUCCCUGCUAGAGACCUUGGGGACUGGCAAGGGACAUCUACGAAUCCGAAGAGGGGCUAAGUUAGGUGAGCAAUCUGAGAACAGAGGCCAGGCUUUAUUGCCUUGUAAAUCACAAACCUGAAGUUUUGUCAGAUCUUUGGGUAAGGGGAGAGCCACCCUGAAUAGAUAACCCUGUCCUAAAUUGCCUUUGCAAGGACCUAAAAUAUGAGACUAUUGAAUGUUCUUCAUUAUACGUAAUUGUUAGUCCAGGAGUUCCCAUUGUGGCUCAGUGGUAAUGAAACCCACUAGUAUCCAUGAGGACGAGGGUUCCAUCUCAGGCCUCACUCAGUGGGUUAAGGGUCCAGUGUUGCUUUGAGCUGUGGUGUAGACCAGCAGCUGUGGCUCUGAUUCAAUCCCUAGGCUGAGAACUUCCUCAGAACUUGAGAACUGUGCCACAGGUGCAGCCCCUG